UACAGAGGGUGCGAGCGUUGUCCGGAAUCACUGGGCGUAAAGGGCGCGUAGGCGGCUCUGUGAGGUUGCGGUGAAAGCCCGGGGCUCAACCCCGGGUCGGCCGUGGCAACUGCUGGGCUCGAGCACUGUAGAGGCAGGUGGAAUUCCGGGUGUAGCGGUGGAAUGCGUAGAGAUCCGGAAGAACACCGGUGGCGAAGGCGGCCUGCUGGGCAGUGACUGUAAUGGUCAAUAGCUGACGCUGAGGCGCGACAGCGUGGGGAGCAAACAGG
Molecule: ribosomal RNA, 269 nt
Filed under: uncultured bacterium
Lineage: Bacteria
Description: partial 16S ribosomal RNA
Rfam family: Bacterial small subunit ribosomal RNA
Source: RNAcentral